Molecule: ribosomal RNA, 253 nt
Filed under: uncultured bacterium
Lineage: Bacteria
Description: partial 16S ribosomal RNA
Rfam family: Bacterial small subunit ribosomal RNA
Source: RNAcentral
UACGAAGGGGGCUAGCGUUGCUCGGAAUUACUGGGCGUAAAGGGCGCGUAGGCGGACAGUUUAGUCAGAGGUGAAAGCCCAGGGCUCAACCUUGGAAUUGCCUUUGAUACUGGCGAGCUUGAGUUCGGGAGAGGUGAGUGGAACUGCGAGUGUAGAGGUGAAAUUCGUAGAUAUUCGCAAGAACACCAGUGGCGAAGGCGGCUCACUGGCCCGAUACUGACGCUGAGGUGCGAAAGCGUGGGGAGCAAACAGG